Molecule: ribosomal RNA, 369 nt
Filed under: uncultured phototrophic eukaryote
Lineage: Eukaryota
Description: SSU rRNA
Rfam family: Bacterial small subunit ribosomal RNA
Source: RNAcentral
UACGGGGGAUGCAAGCGUUAUCCGGAAUCAUUGGGCGUAAAGCGCCUGUAGGUUGUUUAAUAAGUCUGUUGUUAAAGACUAGGGCUCAACCCUAGAAAAGCAAUGGAAACUACUAGACUAGAGUAUGGCAGGGGUAGAGGGAAUUUCUAGUGUAGCGGUGAAAUGCGUAGAUAUUAGAAAGAACACCAGUGGCGAAAGCGCUCUACUGGACCAUUACUGACACUCAGAGGCGAAAGCUAGGGUAGCAAAAGGGAUUAGAUACCCCUGUAGUCCUAGCCGUAAACGAUGGAUACUAGGUGUUGUGCAUUAUGUACAGUACCGUAGCUAACGCGUUAAGUAUCCCGCCUGGGGAGUACGCACGCAAGUGUG